CUGGAGGUAUCAGAAGUGCGAAUGCUGACAUAAGUAACGAUAAAGCGGGUGAAAAGCCCGCUCGCCGGAAGACCAAGGGUUCCUGUCCAACGUUAAUCGGGGCAGGGUGAGUCGACCCCUAAGGCGAGGCCGAAAGGCGUAGUCGAUGGGAAACGGGUUAAUAUUCCCGUACUUGGUGUUACUGCGAAGGGGGGACGGAGAAGGCUAUGUUGGCCGGGCGACGGUUGUCCCGGUUUAAGCGUGUAGGUGUGUGUUCCAGGUAAAUCCGGUUCACUUUAACACUGAGGCGUGACGACGAGGCACUACGGUGCUGAAGCAACAAAUGCCCUGCUUCCAGGAAAAGCCUCUAAGCAUCAGGUAACAUCAAAUCGUACCCCAAACCGACACAGGUGGUCAGGUAGAGAAUACCAAGGCGCUUGAGAGAACUCGGGUGAAGGAACUAGGCAAAAUGGUGCCGUAACUUCGGGAGAAGGCACGCUGACACGUAGGUGAAGUGAUUUACUCAUGGAGCUGAAGUCAGUCGAAGAUACCAGCUGGCUGCAACUGUUUAUUAAAAACACAGCACUGUGCAAACACGAAAGUGGACGUAUACGGUGUGACGCCUGCCCGGUGCCGGAAGGUUAAUUGAUGGGGU
Molecule: ribosomal RNA, 634 nt
Filed under: Salmonella enterica
Lineage: Bacteria; Pseudomonadati; Pseudomonadota; Gammaproteobacteria; Enterobacterales; Enterobacteriaceae
Also listed under: 1 other name
Description: partial 23S ribosomal RNA
Rfam family: Bacterial large subunit ribosomal RNA
Source: RNAcentral